GGAGGAGAAGUUUGAGAUUCUUCAGUCACAGCAGCUGAAAGUGAUAUAGAUUUGUAAGAAAUUGAUUUGAGCUUCGAUGAGUUAAAUCUAGAAGAAGAUGUGAAGUGCUGUAAAAGAGGAAAUUGAGUGAAAAUUUGAGUUUUUUUGAGUUGAAAUUGGAAGGUUCCAGAAAGGGGAAACAGAGAUUUUGGAAGCCAUUGUUGAUGAUGAU
This 211-nucleotide unclassified non-coding RNA is filed under the name Hevea brasiliensis (rubber tree). Lineage: Eukaryota; Viridiplantae; Streptophyta; Magnoliopsida; Malpighiales; Euphorbiaceae. The record is from RNAcentral.